RNAcentral lists this ribosomal RNA (460 nucleotides) under uncultured bacterium. RNAcentral describes it as "partial 16S ribosomal RNA". It matches the Rfam family "Bacterial small subunit ribosomal RNA", at positions 338 to 795 of the family's 1533-position model. The record is from RNAcentral.
CCUACGGGUGGCAGCAGUGAGGAAUAUUGGUCAAUGGGCGCGAGCCUGAACCAGCCAAGUAGCGUGAAGGAUGACUGCCCUACGGGUUGUAAACUUCUUUUAUAAAGGAAUAAAGUGAGGCACGUGUGCCUUUUUGUAUGUACUUUAUGAAUAAGGAUCGGCUAACUCCGUGCCAGCAGCCGCGGUAAUACGGAGGAUCCGAGCGUUAUCCGGAUUUAUUGGGGUUAAAAGGGGCGGAGAUGGGUUGUUAAGUCAGUUGUGAAAGUUUGCGGCCCAACCGUAAAAUUGCAAUUGAUACUGGCAGUCUUGAGUGGAGUUGAGGUAGGCGGAAUUCGUGGUGUAGCGGUGAAAUGCUUAGAUAUCACGAAGAACUCCGAUUGCGAAGGCAGCAUACUAACUUGCCACUGACAUUGAUGCUCGAAAGUGUGGGUAUCAAACAGGAUUAGAUACCCUUGUAGUC